This 247-nucleotide ribosomal RNA is filed under the name uncultured bacterium. Its description in RNAcentral is "partial 16S ribosomal RNA". It matches the Rfam family "Bacterial small subunit ribosomal RNA", at positions 523 to 769 of the family's 1533-position model. The record is from RNAcentral.
AUACGGAGGGUGCGAGCGUUGUUCGGAAUUAUUGGGCGUAAAGCGCGUGCAGGCGGUCUUUUAAGUCUGAUGUGAAAGCCCACGGCUUAACCGUGGAAGGUCAUUGGAAACUGGGGAACUUGAGUGCAGAAGAGGAGAGUGGAAUUCCAUGUGUAGCGGUGAAAUGCGUAGAUAUAUGGAGGAACACCAGUGGCGAAGGCGACUCUCUGGUCUGUAACUGACGCUGAGGCUCGAAAGCGUGGGGAGC